UACGUAGGGUGCGAGCGUUAAUCGGAAUUACUGGGCGUAAAGGGUGCGCAGGCGGUUAUAUAAGACAGAUGUGAAAUCCCCGGGCUCAACCUGGGAACUGCGUUUGUGACUGUAUGACUAGAGUACGGUAGAGAGGGGUGGAAUUCCUGGUGUAGCAGUGAAAUGCGUAGAUAUCAGGAGGAACAUCGAUGGCGAAGGCAGCCCCUUGGACCUGUACUGACGCUCAUGCACGAAAGCGUGGGUAGCGAACAGG
RNAcentral lists this ribosomal RNA (253 nucleotides) under uncultured bacterium. Its description in RNAcentral is "partial 16S ribosomal RNA". It matches the Rfam family "Bacterial small subunit ribosomal RNA", at positions 524 to 776 of the family's 1533-position model. The record is from RNAcentral.